Molecule: RNA transcript, 2237 nt
Organism: Prunus dulcis (almond)
Lineage: Eukaryota; Viridiplantae; Streptophyta; Magnoliopsida; Rosales; Rosaceae
Gene name: probable methionine--tRNA ligase
Exons: 14
Source: RefSeq, a predicted model, not a curated record
AUGGACAUUGGAGACCUCACAGUUACCUCCAAGGAGGAGCAAAUGGCUGCCAAGCUACCUAUCCCUGGCAAGCGAAAUAUCCUGAUCACCAGCGCCUUGCCUUACGUCAACAAUGUCCCUCAUCCCGGCAAUAUCAUUGGCUGUGUGUUGAGUGCUAAUGUCUUUGCACGCUACUGCCGUCUUCGAGGCUACAAUACGGUAUAUGUAUGUGGAACUGAUGAGUAUGGCACAGCGACAGGGACCAAAGCUAUGGAAGAGAAGUGUAGCCCCCAACAGAUUUGUGACAAAAUUCAGCUUUACUGUGACACAUGCAAACGGUUCUUAGCCGAUAGACUUGUGGAGGGGACAUGCCCGACUCAAGGUUGUGACUAUGCUUCUGCACAAGGAGAUCAAUGUGAAUACUCUGGAAAGAUUUUGAAUCCAACAAAACUAAAAGAUCCUAAAUGCAAGGUGUGUAAGACAACUCCACGAAUUCGUGAUACAAAUCACUUGUUUCUAUAACUUCAUUUGCUCAAAGAUAAACUGGAAGAGUAUCAAUAAAACAUCAGUGGUUGGGUCUUAGAGCCAAAAUGCUAUUCAAGGGACGAAUGCAUGGCUCAAAGAGGGACUUAAACAACGAUGUAUUACUAGAGAUCUAAAGUGGGGGGUUCUAGUUCCACAUGAUAACUUCAAGGACAAGGUUUUCUAUGUGUGGUUUGAUGCAGAAAUGGUGGAAAAAUCCUGAGAAUGUGGAGUUGUAUCAGUUUAUGGGUAAGGAUAACGUGCCAUUCCAUACAGUAAUGAUGUUUCCGUCAACGCUUCUUGAAACUGGUGAAAAUUGGACUUUAAUCAAGACUAUUAGUGUUAUUGAGUACUUAAACUACGAAGCAAGUAUGGAUUCUAGAAGACUUUAUUUAUGAAACGAUGCAAAAGAUACAAACAUUCCUGUUGAAGUAUGGAGAUAUUACUUGCUAACUAAUAGGCCCGAGGAAACUUUAAUGAUUCCAGUAUCAGACACAUUAUUUACGUGGGCAGACUUGCAAGCAAAACUGAACAGCGAAUUGCUGAAUAAUUUGGGCAACUUCAUAAAUCGAGUUUUGAGUUUUGUUGCCAAACCUUCAGGUCAAGGAUAUGGUUCCAUUAUUCCAGAUGCUCCAAGGGCAGAGUCAGAUCUUUUAACAGAGAAAUUAGCUGAAAAAGUUGGAAAAUAUGUGGAGCAAUAUAUAGAAGCAAUGGAGAAGGUUAAACUAAAGCAAGGACUGAAAACAGCAAUGAGCAUUUCUAGUGAAGGGAAUGCAUAUCUGCAAGAAAGCCAAUUCUGGAAGCUUUACAAGGAGGACCAACCUCGUUGCGCUUUUGUUAUCAGAACUUCAGUUGGACUAGUGUAUCUUCUUGCUUGUUUGUUGGAACCUUUUAUGCCAUCAUUUUCUCUCGAAGUAUUUAAGCAGCUUAAUUUACCUCCUGAGAAGCACAUAUCACUUUGUGAUGAUAAAGGAGAUAUUGAUAGGGCAAGACGACCUUGGGAGAUUGUACCUGUUGGUCACAAGAUUGCGAAACCAGAGCCAUUGUUCAAGGAAUUGAAAGAUGAAGAAGUGGAGUCCUUAAGGAAGAAGUUUGCUGGAAGUCAAGCGGACAGGAAGGAGCGGGAAGAAGCUGAAGCAGUGAAGGUGGCUGCACAACUCAAGAAAAUGAAAGUUUCAGGUUAGAAUUUCCGCAUUGGAAAGAAAAAGCAACAGGCCACAAAAUCUGCAGCUGAAGCAGAGAUUUCCAUUUCUAGACUUGAUAUUCGUGUUGGCCUCAUUACGAAAGCUCAGAAGCAUCCUGAUGCUGAUUCACUUUACAUACAAGAGAUUGAUGUUGGUGAAGGACAGGCUAGAACAGUUGUGAGUGGACUUGUCAAGUAUAUACCCAUUGAAGAAAUGCAGAACCGGAAGGUCUGUGUUCUUUGCAAUCUGAAGCCAGCAACCAUGAGGGGUAUUAAAUCACAAGCAAUGGUUCUUGCUGCUUCGAACAGUGACCACUCCACGGUUGAAUUGGUCAACCCGCCUAAAGCAGCUCAGGUUGGCGAGAGAGUUACAUUUCCGGGGUUCGCAGGUGAGCCUGAUGAGGUGUUAAACCCCAAGAAGAAAGUGUGGGAGAGCUUGCAAGUGGAUCUGCAUACUAACACUGACCUAGUGGCCUGCUACAGAGAUAUUCCCCUCACAACAUCAGCUGGUGUUUGCACUGUAUCCUCAAUUUGUGGGGGGUCAAUUAGAUAG